CCUACGGGAGGCAGCAGGGGGGAAUAUUGGGCAAUGGAGGAAACUCUGACCCAGCAACGCCGCGUGAAUGAUGAAGGUCGUCGGAUGGUAAAGGUCUUUUCUAAGGGAAGAAGAAAGUGACGGUACCUUAGGAAUAAGCCUCGGCUAACUACGGGCCAGCAGCCGCGGUAAUACGUAGGAGGCAAGCGUUAGCCGGAACGACUGGGCGUAAAGGGGGCGUAGGUGGUUUGACAAGGUGGUAGCGUAACUCCGGGGCUCAACCUCGGCACUACUACCAAAACUGUCGGACUUGAGUGCAGGAUGGGCAACUGGAAUUCCUAGUGUAGCGGUGUAAUGCGUAGAUAUUAGGCGGAACACCAGUGGCGAAGGCGAUUUGCUGGACUGUAACUGACACUGAGGCACGAAAGCGUGGGGAGCAAACAGGAUUAGAUACCCUGGUAGUC
This 443-nucleotide ribosomal RNA is filed under the name uncultured bacterium. RNAcentral's name for it is "partial 16S ribosomal RNA". It matches the Rfam family "Bacterial small subunit ribosomal RNA", at positions 338 to 795 of the family's 1533-position model. The record is from RNAcentral.